UUGGAUUUUUAUUACCGGGGCUUUGGAGAGGAAACAACCAACAACCCAGGCCCUCUGUUCCUCUGUUCGGGGGUUUGAGAUGAGUCAUAGCCCCACGUCAGGCGCGUUGUGAUCCCAAGCCCAGGAGAGGCGCCCAGGAGACAGAAGGAUGUCAGAUCAAGCAAGGCCAGUCUGAACUACACAGUGAGAAUUGAUCCCAAAGAACCGAACCUGUGAAGCCCGCCUGCUUCUUUUCGAAAGGACCAGGAAUAGUCUCCAACCGAUGCCAGUGACAAGAUGCCAUCUCCAAAGGACUUAGACGUUUAACCAAAUACACCGAUCUUACAGAUGAGUUGAGUCUCAGGUUGUCAGUCUGCUUACCACAACUCACAGAUGUCCAGACUGACAGACCACGCAGGUGUUCGUGGCAUCCUGAUGGGGACAGGCUCAGAAAUGGCCAGGAAAGAAUGAAGGCCACCCAUGGAUCACAAGGAUGCCAGCCUGUGCAAGUCCUUAAAGGCUUCCACGGGCUUCGGCAAAUGCACAUGCUCAGAACUGCUUUUCGGAGUUGUUCCUGAGUCGUCGCAGGAUUCGUCGUCAAUCCACUUCACCAGCGCCUUGAAAACACACACACUGCAUUUUAACAGAUACCGGGGCUGCACGGAGAAACCAUGUCUCAAAGGACAAAAAGCAAAACAAAGCAAAAAAGCAAGAAACAGUAAAACAAUCUCAGGCUCCAAAACUGGCAUCGGAAUCAGGUUUUCUACCUCUGUGGUUUGUGCCCAAUGGAGUGAGUUAUGAGUUCAAGACACGAGUGACACCCAGCUCGGACCAAAACUAUAGAGAACAUAAUGCAAACGACGGUCAGACACUGAGUUCCUUACAUCUAUAAUCUCAACAUUCAGAAAAGGCUGGAGAGCCAGGAGGACUGCUACAAGUUCACAGUUACCAUAGUGAAUUCCAGUCUAGCCUGGGCUACAGCAUGAAAUCCCACCUUACUUCAAAAACAAAACAAAAAACCCACAAAGGAAAAUAAACUAUACUAAUUCCUACACUAUUUUAGGAUGACAGGAUAAUCAAAAUUUUUUGUCUCAGUUUGCUUACUAUCCCC
Long non-coding RNA from Grammomys surdaster, 1090 nucleotides. RefSeq lists it as uncharacterized. Lineage: Eukaryota; Metazoa; Chordata; Mammalia; Rodentia; Muridae. The record is from RefSeq and is a predicted model, not a curated record. The transcript has 5 exons.